AUCCUCUGUUCUCUUCAGCUUCUUCUUCUCUCACCCUCUCUUUUAGCUGCCACCCCCAAGCUCCAUCAACAAGAAGUGAUAGCACUUAAAGAGAUCGCUAAAAAGUUUGGGAAAA
This is a long non-coding RNA of Ipomoea triloba (trilobed morning glory), 115 nucleotides long. RefSeq lists it as uncharacterized. NCBI's taxonomy places the organism in Eukaryota, Viridiplantae, Streptophyta, Magnoliopsida, Solanales, Convolvulaceae. The transcript is spliced from 2 exons. The record is from RefSeq and is a predicted model, not a curated record.